Long non-coding RNA from Sus scrofa (pig), 1731 nucleotides. RefSeq lists it as uncharacterized. NCBI's taxonomy places the organism in Eukaryota, Metazoa, Chordata, Mammalia, Artiodactyla, Suidae. The record is from RefSeq and is a predicted model, not a curated record.
CUCGGUUGCCAGGCAACGCGGAGGCGUGGCCUAGGCAAGGGGCUGUGGGUACUGGAGCGCCUGGGAGGAUCUUCCUUUAAAAAAUCAAAAAGUGACAUGGAACUUUACCAAAAGCAUCUAAAAGCAUACCUCAGCUUCAGUGCCAGCAAAUAUCUCAAUAAAUUGCGGAACGAGCUGCAGCAGCGGAUGCAGGACAGAUGACUGAGAGACACGAACACACACACAAUGAGCACAGAGGCUUCUUGGCAUUGGGCAUAAAGAUGGAUUCCUAUGUGGUUUUGUUUUUAACCCACUAUUCUUGCUCCAGACAAAAAAGAACAAGAACUUUUGACCUAAGACAGUCCUUUGAGAGCAUCCAAAGAGCUAUGGAGAAGAAGCCACAAGAUGGAAUAAAAGUCGGCCCUUCUAUGCUGGGAUCUUUCUUGGUCAUUCUGUUGACAAAGCUCUUUCCUGAGGACCUGAGCUCCACCAUCAGUUGCCAGCAAGAACACUUCCUGCCUGCAUCUCUGACAGGCAACAAGCCAUCUGUCUGCUUUCAGACCUAACUCAGGAUGGUUUGGGACAGAUGAAACCAACUCUGUGAGAAUUAGUUUUCCAUCAUGAACAUGUCUAUCUGGAAGAUUAUACUGUACACACAUCUAGUAAUCUCCUUUAUAAAAUACAUAUUUCAUUUAAAACUAGACAUGUGGAACAGGACAACAGGGGACACACACAAAAAAAAUGCGUCAUUGAUAGUGAAAAAAUGUGACUAAGAUACAUUUUCUCAAGAUGUAAAGAUGCCAAAGCAGAAGAAAAGGAAAAAGCACAUUUGAGACAUGUGGCUGCCCAAUACUGUUUCCUUUUAAAGGCAUGGCCUCAACUGAACCUUCUCACAAAUAUUGAAGUCAUUCAUCAAAUGGAUAACUUUAAGCCCCAUAUAAUGGUUAUAUGUUAAUCAAUUCAAGUUGUAUUUGGCUUAAAGCAAGUAUAUAUAUCUUUCAACUCCUAACAUGUAAGAAUAUUCAACAGGAUAAACAUUUAAAACUGAGUUCAUGUGUACAGUUACUUUCCCACAGGUAAACACAUUUAAAAUAUACUACACUCCUUAUUCCAUAAAUUGGUAGAGAGUUACAAGCUUAGAAAGAAUAUUACAGUCAAGUAAUUAAGCAUUCUAGAUUGAAACACCAAAGUAGGUUGGCUAGCAGUUUUUAAAUCCAUGCAUACAAAAAGAAAAACUACCACUAAAACCACACAAUUCAUAAGUGAACUGAAUUCAAGUUACUGGUAUCUGGCUAAUCUUAGUAAAUUCUCAAAUUAAAUACAAGUGGAUAUGUCUGCUUAUAUUUACCUAUAUUUUUGACAGUCAUCUUUUAAAAUAAUUCUUAAAAUGACUUUCGAUAAAUCUAUUUUUCCCUUGUACUAAGCAUCAUCUAAAACAAUAUGUUUUCUCAUUUGCUUUUUUUGCCUCUAAAAUCUAAGUUCCAUGACAUUCACUGCUAUAUUUCUAGUACCUAGAAUUGUGCUUGGCACACAGUAGCUACUCAGUAAAUAACUGUGAAUGAAUAAAUGAAUGAAUUUAGUGUUCUUGUAGCUAUUGAGGUAUAAAAUAAAUGUAUAAUAAAUACGGCAUUCCAUUUGUCCAUUCAUGUAUAAACUUUUAAAGAAAAAAAUAUGAACUUUGAUGUAGCUCUAUGAGAUAAACAGCAAAAACUUUUUUAAAGCUACUAGUGACUACUAAUAAGUAAUUCUACA